This 274-nucleotide ribosomal RNA is filed under the name uncultured bacterium. RNAcentral describes it as "partial 16S ribosomal RNA". It matches the Rfam family "Bacterial small subunit ribosomal RNA", at positions 523 to 796 of the family's 1533-position model. The record is from RNAcentral.
AUACGGAGGGUGCAAGCGUUAUCCGGAAUCAUUGGGUUUAAAGGGUCCGUAGGCGGGAAUCUAAGUCAGUGGUGAAAUCUUGCAGCUCAACUGUAAAAUUGCCAUUGAUACUGGAUUUCUUGAAUUAGUGUGAAGUGGUUAGAAUGUGUAGUGUAGCGGUGAAAUGCAUAGAUAUUACACAGAAUACCAAUUGCGAAGGCAGAUCACUAACACUAUAUUGACGCUAAGGGACGAAAGCGUGGGGAGCGAACAGGAUUAGAUACCCCUGUAGUCU